UUAAAAAGCUCGUAGUUGGAUUUCUGUUGAGGGCGACCGGUGUACACCUCGUGUAUUAUUUGGUUCGGUCUCGGCAUCCUCUUGGGGAACGUUUCUGGACUUUAUUGGACAGGGCGAGAUUCAAGACUUUUACUUUGGGGAAAUUAGAGUGUUCACGGCAGGCAAGCGCUUUGAAUACAUUAGCAUGGAAUAACAAUAUAGGACCUUCGUUCUAUUUUGUUGGUUUCUAGAACUUAGGUAAUGAUUAAUAGGGACAAUUGGGGGCAUUCGUAUUAACGCGUCAGAGGUGGAAUUCUUGGAUUGCGUUACGACGAACUACUGCGAAAGCAUUUGCCAAAGAUGUUUUCAUUGAUCAAGAACGAAAGUAUGGGGAUCGAAGACGCUUAGAUACCGUCGUAGUCUAUACCAUAAACUAUGCCAACUAGAGAUUGGUGGGGUUCUCCUAUUUGGCUCCAUCAGCAUCUUAUGAGAA
Molecule: ribosomal RNA, 472 nt
Filed under: uncultured marine eukaryote
Lineage: Eukaryota
Description: SSU rRNA
Rfam family: Eukaryotic small subunit ribosomal RNA
Source: RNAcentral